Gasterosteus aculeatus aculeatus (three-spined stickleback) is the source of this 2821-nucleotide long non-coding RNA. The record is from Ensembl. NCBI's taxonomy places the organism in Eukaryota, Metazoa, Chordata, Actinopteri, Perciformes, Gasterosteidae.
CUUCUUCCCUCCGUCGUCCACUCUCUCCCCUCGUAGGGGAUGAAGAGAUUAAGAGGAAAUUACACCGAGUCCUUCUCUUCGACAAGGCAGGAGAAGUGGGGAGUCGGAACUUCAAACAACUUUUGAAAAGACGGGAUCAGAGGUCCUGGAAAAAAAGGGGCUGGACGAGGAAAAGACCGGCAGUCACGGAGGAAGAAAAAGACAAAAAAAACCCAAAAGAAGUCAUUUGGGAUUCGAGGUCACGGUAGAUGAAGGGAAGGGGACAGAGAAAGAAGUGAAUUAGAGAAGAAACUGAAUCUCUAUGUUGACCCCGGAAAGGAGGUUAUUGUGGUGACGGAAAAGUAUUUCCACGUAACUAAAGGCCACGAGACUGACACCGAGCUACGAGGGAGGGCUGCGUUUCUGCAGCAAACGAGCUCCUUCACGUAAUGAGCGAGAAGAGAAGGUGCCAAAAAAGAGGGUCGAGUGAGUUGUUACUGAGGUCUUGAUGGUGGUCUUGGAACCUGAGGUCUGUCCCAGUUCGUUUCAUUGAGGAGGAAUACGGAGGGCUGGAGUCUUUCAUAAUCGCUUCUCUUUUCUAGGCAUGUAUUUUGCUUUCUGGAGAGGCUUCUGAAGUAGCUCUUAGCCCAAAGUGGGACUCUUUACCAGCUCAGUUGCAAAAUCCAUCAACUGACAAGAUGAACUCAAACCAAUGGAGCUACUUGGGCCGAGGACUCCUUUCCUGUUACCCUGCAGUCCACAAAUUGACUUUGUUCUACAGGACACAAUGCAAGCACUCGCACACAAAGGCACACAACUACAGGUAUAUGCACAAUAGAAAGAGCCGAUGGAACGUGGUGAUAAAACAGCGUGAGGUUGAAGGGGAAGUUGAACAAUAGCUGCAGCUGCAGACCCGGUUCUCGUCGAGGUGGGAUUUAUGGCAAGGUGCCACAGACCCACACACACACACACAAUCCUGUGUAACAAUCAGGCCAUCGCUGUGACAAAGACCAUGUGUUAACUAUGCUCACAGAAAUCAUCUCUCACACACACACACACACACACAAACAAGCCCAGCAGGCUCUUACACAGAAAUCUAAACGCACUUUGUCACUGGUCUCUCAUCCCAGCAGGUAACACUAUGUCUUUUCCUUCUGUCUCGGUGCUCCUGUACGUCUCUACAUUGCUGUCUUUGCCUCUCUUUCGAUUUCUCAGCAGUCUCUGCUGAAUCCUCUUUCACACCUCCAGCCUCCCCACCACUCCCCCUCUGUCUCCCCCUCCUUUUUGCUUCCUCUCAUUCCCCCUAAGCAGUCUUUCCUAGAGCCCCUUUCAUGCUUUCCCCUCUCUCUCCCACUACACAUUUGCCCUCACUCACAGUCCGGCCUGAAGCGUCUCUCCCUCCCUCCCGCUCUCUCUCUCCCCCGCUAUCCCCCUCAUAUAUUCUUUUCUCUGCACCUGGCCAUGACUCUUCCCCCAUUGCUGUGGUUUCACCUCUCCACCUAUCUGACAGUUUCCACAUUAAUCAUUCUUACAUCCCCGAGAAGAGCUGUCUUCCCUUGCCUCUCUCUCUAUCUCUCUUUAUAAUUCUUAUUUUUUCUCUCUGCCUCUCACUUCCUUGUCACAUUGCAUAUCUUAUUCUCACAACUUGUUUCUCACCUCUCAUUAUAUCUCUAUUUAUGGACGUGCAAGCAAAAUGACAUCACCUUUCUCCCGGUUGUAACAAGUUAUCAUUUGUUGGCAAUAGCUGCAACAGGAUAUCUGAUUAUAUUUGAUUCUUAUUCAGUGGUCGGGGGGGUUUAAGGAUUUUAAUGUUAGACGUUAGCGAUAUAUCAAGAUAGCAGGACACUAAUUCGAGUGAGUGACUUUAUCGCACAAGAAGGCUGACUUUCUGUCAGCUUAUCCACACAAAAAAAAUACAAAUGUGCUAAUAGAUCAAAUCCUGAUAAUUCAGAGAGUAAUUUCCAUUAAGUGAUCUUUUAAUACCAAGUGUGGCUCCUCCUAUAGAAAUGAAAGGAAUGCGGUAAGAUUGAUGUUGGUCUGUCUUAGCGAGGAAAACAUCUAAUUUCAUUUGAAAGUGUAUUUCAGGUCAAUGUGAAGGCAACGAGGAAGCAAAAGGAAACCAAAUGACUUUGAUGAUUUCAUAGAAGAAAAUCCAUGAAAUCAAAGGCUGGCUUGCUACACGUUUGUGGCACUAUCGAGACGUGAGUAACACAGGCGGCCAUUCAUUUCAUUUACACAUAGGCGUUUUCGACUGUCUCUUCUGCACACUCAUUUGUUUUGUGGUUCUCUCUUAUGCUCUUAAACACUGUCUAAUCCCUGAUUAGCGGAGGAAGAGGGCGUCUAAUGCUCCUUUCCACUUGUCUGCUACUGAACUGUGACACACAAGCGCGCUCACAAGCGCACACACUUUGUUUGCACUCAAGUACGCACACUCAGACUUCCACGCAAAUCCAUGUUCACACACAAACCUUUCAAGACUCUAACAUGGGCCUAUCCCACUGCGCUGGCAUUGAAACGUGCACCUGCAUCUCUCUUUCUCCAGAGAAAACGAUACUUUAAAGGAUUUAAUAGUUUCCUGCGAGCGCAACUUAGCACUCAGACAACUUUGUGUUACCCAAGGGACAAACUACGCAUUAUUGCUGCACAGAUCUGUACAUAACUAAUAUUUCUUACAGGACUAUGUUUGUCAAAGUAAAAAUACACCAUCCAGAAGGUGUUUAAUAAUGUUCACCCUACAUGUAACCAUCUAUAGAGGACAAGGCGGAGAGUUUCUUGGAGUUAUUAAGUCUAUUUUGUAGAAUUAAUGACUUCAUUUUUCAUAUUUUUGUAGUUUUUAGAGGCU